Molecule: long non-coding RNA, 303 nt
Filed under: Lathyrus oleraceus (garden pea)
Lineage: Eukaryota; Viridiplantae; Streptophyta; Magnoliopsida; Fabales; Fabaceae
Description: Pisum sativum (pea) long non-coding RNA (PSAT_LNC025336)
Source: RNAcentral
AACAUGCAUGCUAAUCACCUAGCAAUGCAACAUCAACAAUAAUCAAGAAUAGACACAUGCUCACACUCUAAGCCAUAAUACAGUCUAUUCACAAACGUAUACAUUCACAUCAUCAUGUAUACCAUCACACAUCAUCAACAUAAUUAAUCACAAAAGCAUAUCAUAUCAUGCCACAUAAUCAAACACAGUACUAGCCCGCUCUACUAAUACCUAUACCACUCAAAACAACGGGAAACGAUCCCUACAACAUCAUAUCUCAGCUAAGUACAUCACUCAGCCUAAACAACCAAAAACUGCACAACA